CGAGACCCACGCCCACAGUUGCCAGCGUACUCUCUGGAGUGACGGGUACACUGUGGGGACCGCCGCUGCUAAAGCGGAGGAAGGAAUGGGCAACGGUAGGUCAGUAUGCCCCGAAUGUCCCGGGCUACACGCGGGCUACAAUGGUUGGUACAAUGGGUAUCUACCCCGAAAGGGGAUGGAAAUCUCCUAAAGCCAAUCUUAGUUCGGAUUGAGGGCUGCAACUCGCCCUCAUGAAGCUGGGAA
RNAcentral lists this ribosomal RNA (243 nucleotides) under uncultured bacterium. RNAcentral's name for it is "partial 16S rRNA". It matches the Rfam family "Archaeal small subunit ribosomal RNA", at positions 1046 to 1285 of the family's 1478-position model. The record is from RNAcentral.